UUGUUUUAUAUAGUAUAAAGAAUUUUCUAUCAAAAUUUCACGUGAUUUGGAUAUUUCUACACCGUUAAACUUGCAAACGGCUCACUACGGCCAUUGAAAUUUGUUGAUUUUGAGCCCAUUCGAUCACUAGGCAAAUGAUAUCGAAAAAUAAUAAAAUUUAUUUUCUAGGUACUCCAAAUACUCUAGAUCAAGUUUAACGGAGCCGAUCGACGAUUCGAAAGUCGCAACAUCGAAAACGAGCUGGAAGCACGGAAGGCUCCGUGCUUCCGAUAGAGUAUUUGGGGUACCUAGAAAAUAAAUUUUAUGAUUUUAUGAUAUCAUUUGCCUAGUGGACGAAGGGGCUCAAAAUCAACGGCUGAAAAUAAAAAUCUUAUAAAAUGUAAUAAUAUGACAUUAAAAUUUUAAAUCAAAGAUAUUGAUCUUGUUUUAUAUAGUAUAAAGAAUUUUCUAUCAAAAUUUCACGUGAUUUGGAUAUUUCUACACCGUUAAACUUGCAAGCGGCUCACUAUAGUCAUUGAAAUUUGUUGAUUUUGAGCCCUUUCGUUCACUAGGCAAAUAAUAUCGAAAAAUAAUAAAAUUUAUUUUCUCGGUACUCCAAAUACUCUAGAUCAAGUUUAACGGAGCCGAUCGACGAUUCGAAAGUUCUAUAUAUAUAUAUAUAUAUAUCUAUAUAUAUAUAUAUAGAGCCCGGCUACUAUACUAUCGGUAGCACGGAGACUUCCGUGCUACCAAGUUAUUUUUGAUGAUGCGGCUUCCAAAUCGACAAUUGGCUUCGUUAGACUUGAUCUACACUAUUGAAAGUAUUUGGAAACUAAAUUUCAGAAUUUUUCGACAUCAUUUGGCUAGUAAUCAAAAGGUCUCAAAAUUGACAAUUUUAAUGGUAGAUGUGAUACAUUUGUAAAUUUAACGGUGUAAAACAAUCCAAAUCAGAUGAAAUUUUUAUAGAAAAUUCUUUUUACUAUUUAGAGUAAGAUCAGUAUCUCUGAUUUUAAAUUCAAGUCUUCUAUCAUCAUUUUUUAUGAAAUUUUUAUUUUCAGCCGUUCAUUUUUAGACUACUCGUUUGAUAGGUAAGUGAUACCGAAAAAUUAUGAAAUUUAGUUUCCAAAUACUUUCAAUAGUGUAGAUCAAGUCUAACGGAGCCGAUCGUCGAUUUGGAAGCGGCAUCAUUGAAAACAAUUUGGUAGCACGGAGGCGUUCGUGCUACCGAUAGUAUAGCAGCCUAGUUCUAUAUAUAUAUAUAUAUAUAUANAUGAAAAGAUGUGCAGUUACGAUGAUACCGUUCCCCUUGGGUUGAGUGGAUGGUUGAUUUAAUAGUAUAAUCUAACGGGUGGAAACGAUCAAAGAGUAGAUUUAACGGUAGAAAACUCAAUAGUACUAAGGGCUUGGUACUAUCGAUAGUAUAGUAGCCGGACUCAUAUAGAAUUAUAUAUUUAUUACAAUUCAUG
Molecule: long non-coding RNA, 1445 nt
Filed under: Ananas comosus (pineapple)
Lineage: Eukaryota; Viridiplantae; Streptophyta; Magnoliopsida; Poales; Bromeliaceae
Description: long non-coding RNA (ACOM_LNC015948)
Source: RNAcentral